GAUGAAGAACGUAGCGAAAUGCGAUACUUGGUGUGAAUUGCAGAAUCCCGUGAACCAUCGUGUCUUUGAACGCAAGUUGCGCCCGAAGCCAUCAGGUUGAGGGCACGUCUGCCUGGGCGUCACAUAUCGUUGCCCAAUGCCUAUUGCAGUGCAAUAGGAAUUUCUAGGGCGAAUGAUGGCUUCCCGUGAGCGUUGUUGCCUCGCGGUUGGUUGAAAAUCGAGUCCUUGGUAGGGUGUGCCAUGGUAGAUGGUGGUCGAGUUAGAACGAUACCGAUCAUGUGCAUGCUCCCCAAAAUAUGGCCUCUAUGACCCACACGCGUCUUUUGACGCUCAUGACGAGACCUCAGGUCAGGCGGGGCUACCCGCUGAAUUUAAGCAUAUCAAUAAGCGGAGGA
This 395-nucleotide unclassified non-coding RNA is filed under the name soil metagenome. Its description in RNAcentral is "partial contains 5.8S ribosomal RNA, internal transcribed spacer 2, and large subunit ribosomal RNA". The stretch from base 1 to 122 matches the Rfam family "5.8S ribosomal RNA", at positions 35 to 154 of the family's 154-position model. The record is from RNAcentral.